Molecule: long non-coding RNA, 200 nt
Filed under: Anas platyrhynchos platyrhynchos (common mallard)
Lineage: Eukaryota; Metazoa; Chordata; Aves; Anseriformes; Anatidae
Description: lncRNA (ENSAPLG00000018286.1)
Source: RNAcentral
ACCACCAUAUUGGACUGGAAGCUUUUUCUCCUUUAAAACCAAGAAGAAUGACAUUAAUGAUGCAGUUUGCAACCUCAUUAUUUCCUUGAGAACUAGAAUCCCCAGAUGGGACUGCUGGAAGUACUAAGGAUCAAUGAACUAAAGCAAAAGGUUACCUAGGAAGUCAAUACAUGGCUCUUCAUGUGGAACGUACUUCUCAA